RNAcentral lists this transfer RNA (68 nucleotides) under Rachovia maculipinnis. Its description in RNAcentral is "tRNA-Met". It matches the Rfam family "tRNA". From Rfam's summary of the family: Transfer RNA (tRNA) molecules are approximately 80 nucleotides in length. Their secondary structure includes four short double-helical elements and three loops (D, anti-codon, and T loops). Further hydrogen bonds mediate the characteristic L-shaped molecular structure. tRNAs have two regions of fundamental functional importance: the anti-codon, which is responsible for specific mRNA codon recognition, and the 3' end, to which the tRNAs corresponding amino acid is attached (by aminoacyl-tRNA synthetases). tRNAs cope with the degeneracy of the genetic code in two manners: having more than one tRNA (with a specific anti-codon) for a particular amino acid; and 'wobble' base-pairing, i.e. permitting non-standard base-pairing at the 3rd anti-codon position. Lineage: Eukaryota; Metazoa; Chordata; Actinopteri; Cyprinodontiformes; Rivulidae. The record is from RNAcentral.
AGUAAGAUAAGCUAAAAAAGCUUUAGGGCUCAUACCCCUAAAAUGACGGAUUAAACCCUCUUUUACUA